Long non-coding RNA from Tachysurus fulvidraco (yellow catfish), 2689 nucleotides. RefSeq lists it as uncharacterized. The record is from RefSeq and is a predicted model, not a curated record. The transcript has 5 exons. Lineage: Eukaryota; Metazoa; Chordata; Actinopteri; Siluriformes; Bagridae.
ACAAAGGAGAACACAGACAGACUCAUUACAAUUCAACAUCACCUCUUAAAGUUCUAACGUUACACUGAGUACCCUGUCUGACUCUUCAGAUCUAAAACAUUCCUCACAAACUUAAACUCAUUAUUCCUGCAGUAGGUUGGAAGGGAGAAGAAGAAAUUCUGGAGUGAGUUAGAUGAGGUGAUGAAGUAUAGUGUUCUCGUGCAGUGUCUUGAAACUCUGACUAAUCACCAAGUUAAACCAUAAUCAAUGAAGACAGAGUCGUGGUAAGGUUGAUCGUUUACUGUCACUCUUCCUUGUUAAUAUAUAUUGUAUACUCUACAGCUUGUAUUGACAACAGCCAUGUUAGAGUGAUCUCCUUCUCCUCAUACAUGACUGUAUUUUAGCUGCAUUAAUCUCUGAAAUUUUAGCUGCACACUGUUUAGCUUCUUCAAUUUGGAAUGCCAGAGUGAGACCUUAUUCAUAGUAAGUUUAUCUUCUUCCGUAAGCAGCUUCUCUCUGACACUGUUUGCUUUCUCAAUAAUUUACAUGGCUCAGCAAGGCUUUUUACAGUAAAUCAGCGACAAACUGACUGUCUGACACCCGAUCAUUGGCAUAUUUGUCUGAAAUGUAAGUUUUUAUCAAAAGUUAUGAAUCUUUUUAAAAUGUCCUUUCAGUCGUGCAACAGAGUCGAAAUUUCUUCCAUCUGGGACAUCAUCCAAGCCGGCGGGUCAAAUGUACGUCUGAAGCGACACUUACCAGCGCUCCCACGGCAGAACAGGUUUACCAGUGUGGGGUAGAAAUGGCUUAGGGGAAGAUUACUCAAAGAAAUGCUAGUUUACUUAAAGAACUUCAGCAGCAACAGAACACAGUGAAGCAUGCGCAUCAGCCUGACUUUACAACAAUAUUACUGCAACAGAUAAUAAUGAAGAACUGGUUAGAAACCACAAGAAGAUGUAUUGUCUAAUCAGCAGUCAGACGCAAUCCGGUUUGUCUGAAUUGUCGUUGUGUUUUAAGCUUUGUGAUUUUGUUUUGCACUUCCUGGCCAUCUUAUUUAUCAGUGUUUUUAACACUAAAUUUUCUGCCUCGAUAAUAAUUAUAAUUCUGGCUGUAUUUGCAAUAUGUAUUUUAACUUUGCCUUUGUCAGACAUGUAAAUAGACAAUCAUUGUGUCUCUCUUUGUCAUUUUCUUCUUAAACUUGGACAUCAUUUUUAGAUUCAGUGUUUUCAGGGUGUCUGUACUGUCAGAAUGAAGAAAAGGAGAAAAGCUGUGAUAUUUUACUUUAUAUUAUUUUAUUUUAUUUUUAGGUAGAGGUUUAUUCUUAGUAGUACCAUAUUAAUAGAAUUUGAGCUAUCAAAAGUCAACUUUUUUCCUCAGACCAAAAUGAAUCUUAGAGCAUUGGUGUUUUCAUAUACUUGCUAAAACAACUUUUUCUCUUUUAGGAUUUCAGGACAUGUUCAGGCUUUGUUAAGAGAAAGGUGACACUAGGGUGACGUAUCAGUGUGAACAACAGAACAGAAGAUCCUCUGAGAGGAUUAACAUUAUAUAAUUUACCAUUAUUUUAUUGAUCUUAUUUUCACAUUUUCUUUAUCCUGUUGUAAUUAAUCAAACCAAAAAGGUAGGAAACAUCAUUUAAUAGUAAUAUUAUUUUUCAUAUUGUUAACAUACACAAGUACCUAAGCUGUGAUUGGCUCCCAGAUACAUUUGGCAUCAUGGGUUUGGCAUCAAUACUGUAUUGUACAUGCAUUGUUAUUCUGGUUAAAUAUGACAUUUAACCGGUCUAUAUUUUAAACCUAGUCACUGGCACUGGGCUGAGAACGUUCCACAUCUCCUACCUGAAGACUCCUGAGGUUAUAAACAACACAAUGGACUGGAAGCUGGUGCUGACUGUUUUGUGUCUGACUGAAGCUGUAUUGUGUAUGAAUUUGAUGUUAUAGGAGUGCAACAUUAAAGUUGAUCGUAUUUGUGUUCAGCAAACACAACUACAACAAACACAACUUCAGCAAAUACAUAUUGAGGGAGCUUCAAGCUUGAAACCCAGUUUGAGGCUCAGCCAUUGCCAGAUGAGCUGAUUUCAGGAAACACUUGUAGGGUCUAUUUAAACCACAGAAGAAGAAGAUCACACCUGCCCCACUGCCAAGUUUCUAACUUCUCCUCUACAGCCCAUUCAGAUCUGAUGAAGAAGGGCCAACCACACUGACUGCACUGGAUGGAUGAAACAGAGAGGGUGUUCCUCCACCUUAAGGAGGCUCUCACCUCCAUACUUUGACAUCCCCUUCACCUUCCAAACUGACGUCUCUGAGACCAGGCUGGGGGUCAUGUAAACUACCACAGAGAACCCGACAUGGUAGCUAGAGGGAGAUAAGAUGAGAAAGCUCCGGAUCAAACUAAUACACUGUCAGAUACAUUUUGGACACUGCGGCAUAUUAAAUAUAUGAUAAAUAGUAAGUUGUUCUGUGUGACAAAUACAAUGUGUGAUGGGAGAGCUUGACAAAAGACCCAAAUGCGUGACUGUCACUCUUAAUGCGUGACUCCUGAUAGCCCUGAUAUUGUAAAGUCACAUAUUGUUUCUGUUUUUCUGCCUGCCCUGCAUUGCUCUGUCUGCCUGUAUACUGGAUUCCUGGAGCUGUUUAUCAGGCUGCCCUACAUUGCUAUGUCUACUUGUGGGUGUGUAAACAAUACACUUGGAUACAAUACAAUACGUGGCACUUCA